Triticum aestivum (bread wheat) is the source of this 136-nucleotide non-coding RNA. Lineage: Eukaryota; Viridiplantae; Streptophyta; Magnoliopsida; Poales; Poaceae. The record is from Rfam.
GUAGUACUCCCUCUGUCCAAAAAUACUUGUCACCAAAAUGGAUAAAAGAGGAUGUAUCUAGAUGUGUUUUUAGUUCUAAAUACAAUUCUUUUUGUUCAUUUUGAUGACAAGUAUUUCCGGACGGAGGGAGUAGUAC